CAUCAUGUGAAAAUCAAAAGAAAUCAGCCAAGACCUCAAGACCUACAAAAAAUUGUAGACCUCCACAAGUCUGGUUCCUCCUUGGAUGCAAUUUCCAAACGCCUGAUGGUACCACGUUCACCUGUACAAACAAUAGUACGUUCAAUCCAGCUGAACUCUCCUUCGCCUUCUUGCUUGGAAUGGACUACAUCUAGGUGAUGGCACCAGUUCAUCAGAUGAGGACUUCUUCUUUGCCAUGGAUACAUCUCAAACACAAGAAAGCGCCAAACAGCUGGACGGAUACCUAACCUGUUCAGCUGAUCAUAUGGCGUUGCUCAAGUCCUUCCCGGCAGUCUAUAAGCUGUCUUUGAGGUUAAACACACCUUUACCUGCAUCAGCUGCCUGUGAAAGUCUGUUCAACAUUGCAGGAUUUGUUUUCAGCCCCAGGAGAGCAAGGCUGGACUCCAUAAACUUUGAAAACCAGCUUUUACUGAAGAUGAACCGUAAAUUCCUCAACUUCAAGUAAUGACAGCUUAAUGCGAACAAGCCCAAGGACACGGAUGCCUUAUGCAUUUUGUUAAUUUGUUUAAAAUUCACAGGUUAUAGGUGUCCUUGUUACAAUGGCAUGACCUGACACACUGAUUUCUAAUAGAGUUCCAUUAGUGAUGAUGUCGUCAUAUUCCUACAGUGAGGUAUGUACUUUUGAUGAUCUCAAAUUAUACUUUUUUUAUGUUUAGGGUUCUAUUAUAGGAUGUUUUUUCUAAAGCAAAGUGAUUAAGUGCGUAUGUUUACUGGCUAUAUUCCUUCAUUAUUAAGGCAUAAUUAUAUUUUGUCUGUAAGAUGUAUUUUGAAAUGUUGCCUAUUUGAGAAUCCACUUUUUAAAUCUUCUUGCAUCCGUAGGUCUGGCUGUUUUUGCUUUUUGGAUUUAUGGCUCUCACGUUUCUUACUUUUGAUACUGAAGUACACCCACCACUGCCUAAUAUAAGGAAUUUAAUGUAACUUUUACUCAAGUAUGAUUGAGUACUUUACACCACUGUACCCUAAGUACAUUUAAAACCAGAUACUUGUACUUAAGUAGUAUUUUAAUUGGUGACUUUCACUUUAGUAAUUUUCUAUUAAGGUAUCUUUACUUUUCCUCAAGUAUGACAAUUGAGUACUUUUUCCACCACUGGCUAUCAUACACAUCCAACCAUGACGGUAGCCUUGACUGCCAGAUGAGUCUUUAGUUAAAUGGUGUCUCUAAACAAGGCUAAUCUUGUAGAUCCUGACAAAUCUGCCUCUAAAUAUUGCAUAGCUGUAAAAUGUAGUGAGCAAAA
This is a long non-coding RNA of Oncorhynchus keta (chum salmon), 1295 nucleotides long. RefSeq lists it as uncharacterized. The record is from RefSeq and is a predicted model, not a curated record. The transcript is spliced from 3 exons. NCBI's taxonomy places the organism in Eukaryota, Metazoa, Chordata, Actinopteri, Salmoniformes, Salmonidae.